Molecule: unclassified non-coding RNA, 478 nt
Filed under: plant metagenome
Description: partial contains small subunit ribosomal RNA and internal transcribed spacer 1
Rfam family: Group I catalytic intron (bases 64-246)
Source: RNAcentral
AAGUCGUAACAAGGUUUCCUUCCCCCCCUUACUGAAGCCUUAGCAAUAUGCCGCGACUGUAAAGAAAGGUCCUCCCCGAGCAAAUGCUUGGGGACUGCUGGUCCGUAAGGACAACACCACUAAAUUGCGAGGCAGUGCAUUGCACAAACUUGCAGCCACUUCGAAAUGUGGUUCACAGACUAAAUAUUGGUGGGCAAGCUCUUUUGCUUGCUUCAGACAUAGUCGAGUUCCCAGAGAAAUCUUGGGCUGGAAAAACGUUCCGUAGGUGAACCUGCGGAAGGAUCAUUACCGAGUUAGGGGCCUUUGGGCUCCAAACUUCCAACCCUUUGCUUACAAACUUUUUGUUGCUUUGGCGGAGCGGGGGGAAAAAUACCACUUUCCCCCCGCUGGCUUCGGUCGGCGCGUCUCCGCCAGAGAUUUUUCAAAAACCUGCUUGAAACGUGUCAGUCUGAAGCAAAAAUUUUUUAAAUCGCAAAAA